This 494-nucleotide ribosomal RNA is filed under the name uncultured bacterium. RNAcentral describes it as "partial 16S ribosomal RNA". It matches the Rfam family "Bacterial small subunit ribosomal RNA", at positions 28 to 507 of the family's 1533-position model. The record is from RNAcentral.
GACGAACGCUGGCGGCGUGCUUAACACAUGCAAGUCGAACGGUGAAGCGCCUUCCUUUUUGGUGGGUGUGGAUGAGUGGCGAACGGGUGAGUAACACGUGAGUAACCUGCCCCCUUCUUCUGGAUAACCGCAUGAAAGUGUGGCUAAUACGGGAUAUUCUGGGUCUGUCGCAUGAUGGGUCUGGGAAAGAUAUUGUUUCGGUGGGGGAUGGGCUCGCGGCCUAUCAGCUUGUUGGUGGGGUGAUGGCCUACCAAGGCGGUGAGGGGUAGCCGGCCUGAGAGGGUGGACGGUCACACUGGGACUGAGACACGGCCCAGACUCCUACGGGGGGCAGCAGGGGGGAAUAUUGCACAAUGGGCGCAAGCCUGAUGCAGCGACGCCGCGUGAGGGAUGGAGGCCUUCGGGUUGUGAACCUCUUUCGCCAGUGAAGCAGGCCUGCCUCGUUUGUGGGUGGGUUGACGGUAGCUGGAUAAGAAGCGCCGGCUAACUACGUG